GACGUAGGGCGCGAGCGUUGUCCGGAUUUAUUGGGCGUAAAGAGCUCGUAGGCGGCUUGUCGCGUCGGCUGUGAAAACCCGCGGCUCAACUGUGGGCGGGCAGCUGAUACGGGCAGGCUGGAGUUCGGUAGGGGAGACUGGAAUUCCUGGUGUAGCGGUGAAAUGCGCAGAUAUCAGGAGGAACACCGGUGGCGAAGGCGGGUCUCUGGGCCGAUACUGACGCUGAGGUGCGAAAGCCAGGGGAGCGAACGGG
This 253-nucleotide ribosomal RNA is filed under the name uncultured bacterium. RNAcentral describes it as "partial 16S ribosomal RNA". It matches the Rfam family "Bacterial small subunit ribosomal RNA", at positions 524 to 776 of the family's 1533-position model. The record is from RNAcentral.